GUUUUUUAAAAAUCUCCUGGUUAGAAGCAAAGUAAGGGAGUCUUUACAUAUAGACCCCACUGUGAUGGUUGAAGAGAUACAUUUUGGAGGACUAAAAUGGCAGGGGAGGAUGGUGCAUAUGUUUGUGUGUUUGUAUCAGGGAGCUUUUAAUUCAGGGUGGACAUAUGAAAGAUCACUCCUACCAGUGAUACCAGAACAAAUAGAACACCCAUCAUGUUGGCUUUGUCCAUGACCUUUCAUUUCAGAAGGACCAGAUAUUUCCUUCUCUCCCAUGAUGUGAGGUGGAUUGCCAGCAAACUGCUUCAGUAACAAAGGAAAUUGAAUUGCUUAUGAAGGAUUGCCUACACUAGCCCGUGAGCCAGGGUGUGCUUCAAGGAUACUGAAGAUGUGUCUGGAAAUACAAAAGGCCCUUCUACGAAAUGCGCUUUUCUCUUGCAGAGUGUUGUGAUCCUUCAAAUGGUAGUGACUUGCAUGCAGAGUUUUAUUUCCUUCUCACUCUGUGGGCUCACUUAUACGGUGAAUGGCAAUGAGAUCAGCUGGGUUUCUGCACUAAGUUGCGUGAUCAGAUCACAUUCUGAAGAUCCUUAUCAAGACUUAUUGACUCAACCUGAAUUGUAUGAAGACUUAGUGCUGCAAGACAUAGACCCUUUUCACUCUGAUCCAUGAGACACCAUCAUACCAUUCUUUACCACACCAGUGCCUCUUGAAUCCAUGAUGGCAACCAAAGACAGAUUUUCUGAUAGGAAUCUCCUACAAAUACCCUCCUUCCCACGUCUUUCAUUAUGCAAUUUCACACACACACACACACACACAUACACACACACGAUUAGCAAUAUAUGUGCUUUAAUUUAUAGUUGACCAGCAAAUACUAGUAUUAGCACUCCAUAGAUGAAUAGACCUCUUUUCAUUUGGAUGGUCUAUUACCAUUUUUAAGCAAAUAUUAGUUCUUAGGUCCCACAGAGUAAUUUAUUAUUACACACUUGCUUCUUCCUAGAAACUGUACUUCCUUCUUGGUUGACAGUUUAUUCAAGUGAAACAUCUUUGUACAAAUAGUUUGGAUAAGUAGUGGCAUACCAUCUGGCAUUGGGUCCAAUCUAAAUUCCUUUGACUGUUGAAUGUACCAACUCUUCUUUGCUUAUGUCAAGGGGAACUUGAGAAAAUAUAAUAAGAUACCAAGUGUAUAUUAUCACACAAUAAUGUAUGACAUAUAAUAAAAAUCUAAUGCAACUUCA
Molecule: long non-coding RNA, 1232 nt
Filed under: Ursus maritimus (polar bear)
Lineage: Eukaryota; Metazoa; Chordata; Mammalia; Carnivora; Ursidae
Description: lncRNA (ENSUMAG00000013466.1)
Source: RNAcentral